Molecule: transfer RNA, 76 nt
Filed under: Caldisericum exile AZM16c01
Lineage: Bacteria; Pseudomonadati; Caldisericota; Caldisericia; Caldisericales; Caldisericaceae
Also listed under: 9 other names
Description: tRNA-Asn (GTT) (tRNA-Asn-GTT-1-1)
Rfam family: tRNA
About the family: Transfer RNA (tRNA) molecules are approximately 80 nucleotides in length.
Source: RNAcentral
UCCCCGUUAGCUCAACCGGCAGAGCGGGUGGCUGUUAACCACUAGGUUGUAGGUUCGAGUCCUACACGGGGAGCCA